RNAcentral lists this ribosomal RNA (482 nucleotides) under uncultured bacterium. RNAcentral's name for it is "bacterial SSU rRNA". It matches the Rfam family "Bacterial small subunit ribosomal RNA", at positions 32 to 507 of the family's 1533-position model. The record is from RNAcentral.
AACGCUAGCGACAGGCUUAACACAUGCAAGUCGAGGGGUAACAGGGUAGCAAUACCGCUGACGACCGGCGCACGGGUGAGUAACGCGUAUGCAACCUGCCUAUAACUGGGGAAUAGCUCCCUGAAAGGGGAAUUAACACCGCAUAACACUAUUGAUUCGCAUGGAUUGGUAGUUAAAUGUAGCGAUACAGGUUAUAGAUGGGCAUGCGUGACAUUAGCUAGUUGGUGAGGUAACGGCUCACCAAGGCUACGAUGUCUAGGGGUUCUGAGAGGAAGGUCCCCCACACUGGUACUGAGACACGGACCAGACUCCUACGGGAGGCAGCAGUGAGGAAUAUUGGUCAAUGGGCGCAAGCCUGAACCAGCCAUGUCGCGUGCAGGAAGACUGCCCUAUGGGUUGUAAACUGCUUUUAUAGUAGAAGAAACACAUCUACGAGUAGAUGUCUGCCAGUAUACUAUGAAUAAGCAUCGGCUAACUCCGUG